GAUGAACGCUGGCGGCGUGCCUAAUACAUGCAAGUCGAGCGAACAGACGAGGAGCUUGCUCCUCUGACGUUAGCGGCGGACGGGUGAGUAACACGUGGAUAACCUACCUAUAAGACUGGGAUAACUUCGGGAAACCGGAGCUAAUACCGGAUAACAUGUUGAACCGCAUGGUUAAACAGUGAAAGACGGUCUUGCUGUCACUUAUAGAUGGAUCCGCGCCGCAUUAGCUAGUUGGUAAGGUAACGGCUUACCAAGGCAACGAUGCGUAGCCGACCUGAGAGGGUGAUCGGCCACACUGGAACUGAGACACGGUCCAGACUCCUACGGGAGGCAGCAGUAGGGAAUCUUCCGCAAUGGGCGAAAGCCUGACGGAGCAACGCCGCGUGAGUGAAGAAGGUCUUCGGAUCGUAAAACUCUGUUAUUAGGGAAGAACAAAUGUGUAAGUAACUAUGCACGUCUUGACGGUACCUAAUCAGAAAGCCACGGCUAACUACGUG
This 497-nucleotide ribosomal RNA is filed under the name uncultured bacterium. RNAcentral's name for it is "partial 16S ribosomal RNA". It matches the Rfam family "Bacterial small subunit ribosomal RNA", at positions 28 to 507 of the family's 1533-position model. The record is from RNAcentral.